RNAcentral lists this ribosomal RNA (74 nucleotides) under Ureibacillus endophyticus. Its description in RNAcentral is "Lysinibacillus endophyticus partial 16S ribosomal RNA". It matches the Rfam family "Bacterial small subunit ribosomal RNA", at positions 1 to 68 of the family's 1533-position model. Lineage: Bacteria; Bacillati; Bacillota; Bacilli; Caryophanales; Caryophanaceae. The record is from RNAcentral.
AAUUCUUUUAUGGAGAGUUUGAUCCUGGCUCAGGACGAACGCUGGCGGCGUGCCUAAUACAUGCAAGUCGAGCG